CCCUUAGAUGUUCUGGGCUGCACGCGCGCUACACUGAUGCACUCAACGAGUUUACGACCUUGCCCGAUAGGGUUGGGUAAUCUUUUUAAAAUGCAUCGUGAUGGGGAUAGAUUAUUGCAAUUAUUAAUCUUCAGCGAGGAAUUCCUAGUAAGCGCGAGUCAUCGGCUCGUUCUGAUUACGUCCCUGCCCUUUGUACACACCGCCCGUCGCUCCUACCGAUUGAGUGCUCAGGUGAAUAAUUCGGACUGCAGCAAUGUUUGGAUCCCGAACGUUGCAGCGGAAAGUUUAGUGAACCUUAUCACUUAGAGGAAGGAGAAGUCGUAACA
This 326-nucleotide ribosomal RNA is filed under the name uncultured eukaryote. Its description in RNAcentral is "partial 18S ribosomal RNA". It matches the Rfam family "Eukaryotic small subunit ribosomal RNA", at positions 1470 to 1796 of the family's 1831-position model. The record is from RNAcentral.